CAGUAGGGAAUCUUCCACAAUGGGCGCAAGCCUGAUGGAGCAACACCGCGUGAGUGAAGAAGGGUUUCGGCUGGUAAAGCUCUGUUGUUGGAGAAGAACGUGCGUGAGAGUAACUGUUCANGCAGUGACGGUAUCCAACCAGAAAGUCUCGGCUAACUACGUGCCAACAGCCGCGGUAAUACGUAGGUGGCAAGCGUUAUCCGGAUUUAUUGGGCGUAAAGCGAGCGCAGGCGGUUGCUUAGGUCUGAUGUGAAAGCCUUCGGCUUAACCGAA
This 273-nucleotide ribosomal RNA is filed under the name uncultured Lactobacillus sp. Its description in RNAcentral is "partial 16S ribosomal RNA". It matches the Rfam family "Bacterial small subunit ribosomal RNA", at positions 352 to 617 of the family's 1533-position model. The record is from RNAcentral. Lineage: Bacteria; Bacillati; Bacillota; Bacilli; Lactobacillales; Lactobacillaceae.